GAGGCGAACCGGGGGAACUGAAACAUCUAAGUACCCCGAGGAAAAGAAAUCAACCGAGAUUCCGAAAGUAGCGGCGAGCGAAAUUGGACUAGCCCUUAAGCUUUACACGCGUUAGACGAACGGUCUGGAAAGUCCGACGAUACAGGGUGAUAGUCCCGUAGUUGACGACGUGUGUUCAGUGAAAUCGAGUAGGGCGGGACACGUGAUAUCCUGUCUGAAUAUGGGGGGACCAUCCUCCAAGGCUAAAUACUACUGACUGACCGAUAGUGAACCAGUACCGUGAGGGAAAGGCGAAAAGAACCCCUGUGAGGGGAGUGAAAUAGAACCUGAAACCGUGUACGUACAAGCAGUAGGAGCAGGCUUUGUCCUGUGACUGCGUACCUUUUGUAUAAUGGGUCAGCGACUUAUAUUCAGUGGCAAGGUUAACCAUCUAGGGGAGCCGUAGGGAAACCGAGUCUUAACUGGGCGUUCAGUCUCUGGAUAUAGACCCGAAACCAGGUGAUCUAGCCAUGGGCAGGUUGAAGGUUGAGUAACAUCAACUGGAGGACCGAACCGACUAAUGUUGAAAAAUUAGCGGAUGACUUGUGGCUAGGGGUGAAAGGCCAAUCAAACCUGGAGAUAGCUGGUUCUCCCCGAAAGCUAUUUAGGUAGCGCCUCGGACGAAUACUACUGGGGGUAGAGCACUGUUAAGGCUAGGGGGUCAUCCCGACUUACCAACCCUUUGCAAACUCCGAAUACCAGUAAGUACUAUCCGGGAGACACACGGCGGGUGCUAACGUCCGUCGUGGAGAGGGAAACAACCCAGACCGCCAGCUAAGGUCCCAAAUUACUACUAAGUGGGAAACGAUGUGGGAAGGCUCAGACAGCCAGGAUGUUGGCUUAGAAGCAGCCAUCAUUUAAAGAAAGCGUAAUAGCUCACUGGUCGAGUCGGCCUGCGCGGAAGAUGUAACGGGGCUAAGUAGUAAACCGAAGCUGCGGCAAUGUGCUUUUGCACAUUGGGUAGGGGAGCGUUCUGUAAGCGGUUGAAGGUGUGUGGUAACGCAUGCUGGACGUAUCAGAAGUGCGAAUGCUGACAUGAGUAACGAUAAAGGGGGUGAAAAACCUCCUCGCCGGAAGACCAAGGGUUCCUGUCCAACGUUAAUCGGGGCAGGGUAAGUCGACCCCUAAGGCGAGGCCGAAAGGCGUAGUCGAUGGGAAACGGGUUAAUAUUCCCGUACUUCUUACAAUUGCGAUGGGGGGACGGAGAAGGCUAGGUGGGCCUGGCGACGGUUGUCCAGGUUCAAGUGCGUAGGCUUAAGAGUUAGGUAAAUCCGGCUCUUUUUAAGGCUGAGACACGAUGUCGAGCACCUACGGGUGUGAAGUCAUUGAUGCCAUGCUUCCAGGAAAAGCCUCUAAGCUUCAGAUUGUAAGGAAUCGUACCCCAAACCGACACAGGUGGUCGGGUAGAGAAUACCAAGGCGCUUGAGAGAACUCGGGUGAAGGAACUAGGCAAAAUGGUACCGUAACUUCGGGAGAAGGUACGCUCUUGAUGGUGAAGUCCCUUGCGGAUGGAGCUGACGAGAGUCGCAGAUACCAGGUGGCUGCAACUGUUUAUUAAAAACACAGCACUGUGCAAAAUCGUAAGAUGACGUAUACGGUGUGACGCCUGCCCGGUGCCGGAAGGUUAAUUGAUGGGGUUAGACUUCGGUCGAAGCUCUUGAUCGAAGCCCCGGUAAACGGCGGCCGUAACUAUAACGGUCCUAAGGUAGCGAAAUUCCUUGUCGGGUAAGUUCCGACCUGCACGAAUGGCGUAAUGAUGGCCACGCUGUCUCCACCCGAGACUCAGUGAAAUUGAAAUCGCUGUGAAGAUGCAGUGUACCCGCGGCUAGACGGAAAGACCCCGUGAACCUUUACUACAGCUUGGCACUGAACAUUGACCCUACAUGUGUAGGAUAGGUGGGAGGCUUUGAAGCACGUACGCCAGUAUGUGUGGAGCCGUCCUUGAAAUACCACCCUUGUAGUGUUGAUGUUCUAACGUCGACCCCUAAUCGGGGUUGCGGACAGUGCCUGGUGGGUAGUUUGACUGGGGCGGUCUCCUCCCAAAGAGUAACGGAGGAGCACGAAGGUGGGCUAAUCACGGUUGGACAUCGUGAGGUUAGUGCAAUGGCAUAAGCCCGCUUGACUGCGAGAAUGACAAUUCGAGCAGGUGCGAAAGCAGGUCAUAGUGAUCCGGUGGUUCUGAAUGGAAGGGCCAUCGCUCAACGGAUAAAAGGUACUCCGGGGAUAACAGGCUGAUACCGCCCAAGAGUUCAUAUCGACGGCGGUGUUUGGCACCUCGAUGUCGGCUCAUCACAUCCUGGGGCUGAAGUCGGUCCCAAGGGUAUGGCUGUUCGCCAUUUAAAGUGGUACGCGAGCUGGGUUUAGAACGUCGUGAGACAGUUCGGUCCCUAUCUGCCGUGGGCGUUGGAAGAUUGAAGGGGGCUGCUCCUAGUACGAGAGGACCGGAGUGGACGAACCUCUGGUGUUCGGGUUGUGUCGCCAGACGCAUUGCCCGGUAGCUAAGUUCGGAAUCGAUAACCGCUGAAAGCAUCUAAGCGGGAAGCGAGCCCUGAGAUGAGUCUUCCCUGAUACUUUAAGUAUCCUAAAGGGUUGUCGGAGACUACGACGUUGAUAGGUCAGGUGUGUAAGUGCUGUGAGGCAUUGAGCUAACUGAUACUAAUUGCCCGUGAGGCUUAACCAUACAACACCCAAGGGGUUU
This 2737-nucleotide ribosomal RNA is filed under the name Vibrio parahaemolyticus. RNAcentral describes it as "partial 23S ribosomal RNA". It matches the Rfam family "Bacterial large subunit ribosomal RNA". Lineage: Bacteria; Pseudomonadati; Pseudomonadota; Gammaproteobacteria; Vibrionales; Vibrionaceae. The record is from RNAcentral.